RNAcentral lists this unclassified non-coding RNA (392 nucleotides) under uncultured fungus. RNAcentral's name for it is "partial contains ITS1, 5.8S rRNA and ITS2". The stretch from base 93 to 246 matches the Rfam family "5.8S ribosomal RNA". The record is from RNAcentral. Lineage: Eukaryota; Fungi.
CCUACGUUGCCUCGGCGGCGUCCUGCCCGCCGGAGGACAAACUCAAAACUCCUGUUUUAACGGUGUUGUCUGAGCUACAAGCAACGAAUCAAAACUUUCAACAACGGAUCUCUUGGUUCUGGCAUCGAUGAAGAACGCAGCGAAAUGCGAUAAGUAGUGUGAAUUGCAGAAUUCAGUGAAUCAUCGAAUCUUUGAACGCACAUUGCGUCCCUUGGCAUCCCGAGGGGCAUGCCUGUUCGAGCGUCAUUUCACCACUCAAGCACGGCUUGGUGUUGGGCGACGUCCCUCCUUGGGGACGCGCCUCGAAACGCUCGGCGGCGUGGCACCGGCUUUAAGCGUAGCAGAAUCUUUCGCUUUGGAAGUCGGGGCCCCGUCUGCCGGAAGACCUACCA